CUAGUUACAUUUCUCUAUCCAUAACUGAGUCAUCCUUGAUGGAGAGACUUAAUAGCGCUUCCGGGUGAAAACCAUGAUUGAAGGGUACCUGCAACAGUCAAUGGAUCUCAAUAAUAUGAAUGCCCAGAUGCUCUUCCGUUGAGGAGCAUGAAGCAUCCAACUCACUUUAUUUACAACCCGUUACAUAGAUUCUUGAAUCUAAAAGGUAUCCUUGACUCCUGAGUGGUAUCUUCAAUUCAACCUUUUGAUUUCACCCGUGAUUUGACCAGAGGAUUGGAUAUUGACAACCAGCCAAUGUUUACUAAUUUCAAAUAGGUGUAGGGAUAGUAUAUGCGCUUUUUAUUUAUUUCCAUCCAGGCAGCUCCUAUUCACCGGUGUAGAGAUAUUUAAUUGUAUAUAGAUUUUAGUUGAGCUCUUGGGCAACUACUCCGCACGCAGUCGAAGCGCUCUGAAAUCUCAGAAAGAGCCCGAUCUCGCGAUAUGAUCAUAUAGAGCGCAGCUGGAGCUCGUAAUAGAAUAACUAGAAAUACGGUAGAAGCUCAGACAUAGCCAGAUCCUCAAAAUGAGCUCCACAGCAGCGCACAAAAGCCAUCAAGGCCUCUUAAGAGUGAACGGUAGCUAUCUGUUCUCUCUGCCAGAUCCUAAAUUAGCCGUAUAGAGAUAGAUGCCUUUAGAUAGAAUUGUUAUACAGCAGGAUGGUAUCCCUUCAAUUGAGAAUCCUCUAUCAGCAGAAGCGUUUGGGUAAUGUAACUCUCACGGCUUGUAAGUCCCUCUACAGUAUUAAAUGGCC
This 790-nucleotide small RNA is filed under the name Histoplasma ohiense. RNAcentral describes it as "hypothetical lncRNA". The record is from RNAcentral. Lineage: Eukaryota; Fungi; Ascomycota; Eurotiomycetes; Onygenales; Ajellomycetaceae.